GACGAACGCUGGCGGCGUGCUUAACACAUGCAAGUCGAACGCUGAAGCUCAGCUUUUGUUGGGUGGAUGAGUGGCGAACGGGUGAGUAACACGUGAGUAACCUGCCUCCUUCUUUGGGAUAACGCCCGGAAACGGGUGCUAAUACUGGAUAUUCACUGGUCUUCGCAUGGGGGUUGGUGGAAAGGGUUGAGGUGGUGGGGGAUGGUCUCGCGGCCUAUCAGCUUGUUGGUGGGGUGGUGGCCUACCAAGGCUUUGACGGGUAGCCGGCCUGGGGGGGUGACGGGCCAGAUUGGGACUGAGAUACGGCCAGGAGCCGUACGGGGGGCAGCAGUGGGGAAUAUGGCAGAAUGGGCGGACGCCUGAUGCAGAAACGCGGCGUGCGGGAUGAUGGGCUUCGGGUUGUAAACCGCUUUAGCCUGUGAAGAAGCGUGAGUGACGGUAAUGGGUAAAGAAGCACCGGCUAACUACGUG
RNAcentral lists this ribosomal RNA (471 nucleotides) under uncultured bacterium. RNAcentral describes it as "partial 16S ribosomal RNA". It matches the Rfam family "Bacterial small subunit ribosomal RNA", at positions 28 to 507 of the family's 1533-position model. The record is from RNAcentral.